Molecule: long non-coding RNA, 528 nt
Organism: Canis lupus familiaris (dog)
Lineage: Eukaryota; Metazoa; Chordata; Mammalia; Carnivora; Canidae
Exons: 3
Source: RefSeq, a predicted model, not a curated record
AGACCUGGGAGUGGAGAACACUGCUGAGGUAGUGGACAGAUGACCCACGAAGUCCCCAAGACUCGAGUCUGAUGAAGAGAACAAAACAUCCCGGCAUUAUUUUUUCAAGACCCAGUGUGCUGGCACAAAUCUGUAAACUGGAUCAGACAGAAGGCAAUUUCUGGAAGAGAGAAAUAAGCAUCUGGACAAUUUUUAUAAACACCCCCUUGGCACCAGGAUGGUGUGCUUGCUGCUGACGUGUUUUGGCCAGUACAUGACCAGUCUAAAGAGAAGCAUUCUGGUAUCCAGGCCGCUUCUGUCUGUACGGGGACCUUUCCUGUCUCCAGCGAUCUGAGGGGAAGCAAGACAUUGGAAUCCAUUCCUCAGCUAAGGCCUUCCUGUUCUUAUAGGUCAAAAUAAAAGGGACUCAACCCCCUGGUGUCAUGGCCUCUGAUGGCCCAAAGCAUGUUUUUUGUGAUUUCUGUGGUCCUUCGAGGGCCAUCUUCUUCAUGGUCCUUUUGGUUCUAGUUUCUGCAUCCAAAAAUCAAA